Molecule: long non-coding RNA, 1083 nt
Filed under: Canis lupus familiaris (dog)
Lineage: Eukaryota; Metazoa; Chordata; Mammalia; Carnivora; Canidae
Description: lncRNA (ENSCAFG00030001427.1)
Source: RNAcentral
AUGGGGGGGGGGACCCUAGAAAGCAGACGGGCUUUCGAAUCCGUUGUGAGCCGGGUCCAGGCUCUGCCGCAGGCCACCUGGCUGCACCUCCAGGUGCUCAAAAGUGCGAGGCCCAAAGCAGGGGAGGAGUGGGCAGCCCUGCACGGCCUCCCACCAGCAAGGGCGCGACGCUACUUGCCUUCGGGGUCCCAAGGGCAGGGAGCGCGACGCCGUGCCGCCCGGCCUCCCGCAGGCGCUAGGCUUCCGACCACGCGCUCGGCUGCGCCCUCUCGCCCGACGGCAACGGCGGGACCUGAGGAGAAGCCGCCCAGGGGCCGUCGCCUUCUAGCGCCAGAGUCCGCGGGGCAUCCGGCCCGCGCUCGGCCUCACCCCUUCCCGCAACGGCGGGCGCAGGCGGCGCAGGCGGGCGCAGGCCCUCCCCCGCAGGCGGCGGGCGCGCAGCUGCGCAGGGCCUGCCGGGAGCACGUGCCCACAGCCUCCCGCCCCGCGCGCCCUAGCUUUGUUACGAGAGGCGGGGUCUGGGUCACUUCCGCCCCCGCCCCGCGGGCCCCGCCCCCGCCCCGCAGGCCCCGCCCCCAGCGCGUCCGUAACCCAAGGCAACCGUCGCCCUCGCCCGCCCGCGGGACUCGGCUGCCGGGCGCCUUCCAUCCCGUGGGCCCCACAGGAGGGUGUGAGCGGCCGCGGCCGCUCCCCCGCCCCCAGGGCAAAGCCCCAGACUCCGCAGGCGGCAGAGCGAGAGGCCCUGCCCGGUUCGGAGCUGCCUCUGAGGAAGGGAGGCAAAGCGGAGAGGUAGUUAGAGGCGCGGGGGGGCGGGGAAUGGGUGGGGCAGUGGGAGGAGCUGGCGGGGCGGGGCCUGCGGGGCGGGGCCAAGGCGGAGGGGGCGGGGCUUGCGGGCGAGCACAGCGCUUGAGAGGACGGUGGGCAUCUCUGGGGCCCGGCAGGGACUGCUGGAUGAAGAGGACGAGGAGGGAUCUUGGAAGAAGGGAAGGAGCCUCAGGGAAGGGGAGGGGCUGGUCUAGGAGAGGGAAGAGCGCCGUGUGGAACACCUGGGCUUUAGGAGCAACAGGUGGAGUGCGUGCUUGA